Molecule: ribosomal RNA, 433 nt
Filed under: uncultured bacterium
Lineage: Bacteria
Description: partial 16S ribosomal RNA
Rfam family: Bacterial small subunit ribosomal RNA
Source: RNAcentral
AACGAACGCUGGCGGCAUGCCUAACACAUGCAAGUCGAACGAAACCUUCGGGGCUAGUGGCGCACGGGUGCGUAACGCGUGGGAACGUGCCCUUAGGUUCGGAAUAACUCCCCGAAAGGUGUGCUAAUACCGGAUAAUGUCUUCGGAGCAAAGAUUUAUCGCCAUUGGAUGGGCCCGCGUUGGAUUAGCUAGUUGGUAGGGUAAAAGCCUACCAAGGCGACGAUCAGUAGCUGGUCUGAGAGGAUGACCAGCCACACUGGGACUGAGACACGGCCCAGACUCCUACGGGAGGCAGCAGUGGGGAAUAUUGGACAAUGGGCGAAAGCCUGAUGCAGCCAUGCCGCGUGAGUGAUGAAGGCCUUAGGGUUGUAAAGCUCUUUUACCCGGGAUGAUAAUGACAGUACCGGGAGAAUAAGCCCCGGCUAACUCCGUG